GUAUUGCUGACGUGUCCAAACAAGGACGAAACGGUUGUCCAAUGC
RNAcentral lists this non-coding RNA (45 nucleotides) under Echinostoma caproni. The record is from RNAcentral. Lineage: Eukaryota; Metazoa; Platyhelminthes; Trematoda; Plagiorchiida; Echinostomatidae.